GCGAAAGUGGCGGAACUGGCAGACGCGCAGGACUCAGGAUCCUGUGGGGUAACACCCGUGGGGGUUCAACUCCCCCCUUUCGCAC
This 85-nucleotide transfer RNA is filed under the name bacterium HR30. RNAcentral's name for it is "tRNA-Leu". It matches the Rfam family "tRNA". From Rfam's summary of the family: Transfer RNA (tRNA) molecules are approximately 80 nucleotides in length. Their secondary structure includes four short double-helical elements and three loops (D, anti-codon, and T loops). The record is from RNAcentral.